GAUCCUGGCUCAGGAUGAACGCUAGCGGCAGGCUUAACACAUGCAAGUCGAGGGGCAGCGUGGAGUAGCAAUACUCUGACGGGCGGCCGGCGAAAGGGUGAGUAACGCGUGAGCAACAUGCCCGGUAGUGGAGAAUAGUCGAUGGAAACGUUGCGUAAUACUCCGUAACAUAGAGAACCGCAUGAUUUUCUAUUAAUAGAUUUAUCGCUACCGGAUUGGCUCGCGUACCAUUAGCUAGUUGGCGGGGUAACGGCCCACCAAGGCGACGAUGGUUAGGGGUUCUGAGAGGAAGGUCCCCCACAUUGGAACUGAGACACGGUCCAGACUCCUACGGGAGGCAGCAGUGAGGAAUAUUGGACAAUGGCCGAGAGGCUGAUCCAGCCAUGCCGCGUGGCCGGGAAGACGGCCCUAUGGGUUGUAAACCGCUUUUGUUGGGGAGCAAUAAGGUCCACGCGUGGAUCGAUGAGAGUACCCAGCGAAUAAGCAUCGGCUAACUCCGUGCCAGCCGCCGC
RNAcentral lists this ribosomal RNA (512 nucleotides) under uncultured bacterium. RNAcentral describes it as "bacterial SSU rRNA". It matches the Rfam family "Bacterial small subunit ribosomal RNA", at positions 15 to 518 of the family's 1533-position model. The record is from RNAcentral.